Molecule: long non-coding RNA, 221 nt
Organism: Hydra vulgaris (swiftwater hydra)
Lineage: Eukaryota; Metazoa; Cnidaria; Hydrozoa; Anthoathecata; Hydridae
Source: RefSeq, a predicted model, not a curated record
UAUUUUAAAUUGUCAUAAACAUUUUCAAUGUUUCUUAUACAUUGUUUCUUUUUAGGUAAAAUAGUUGUAUUAAUUGGCAGUAAAAAUUUUGCUGAUACAAUUAAAAAUAUUUUGCUCUUACUGUCAACAGACACUAUUUUGUCAGAAUACAGCAUUAAUUGUCUAUGUAACGCUGUCACUGAAGCUGCUUUAGAGUCAAAUAAAAACUUAACCAAAAUGGA